CAAAAGCAGCUGCUACAGCCCAGAGUCCCACCUCAGGGAACAGUGCCCGAGCACAUGAUCCUGAACUGGAAGGGUUAUGUCCCUGGAGCCUGUGGGGGGCCAGGACCCAGAACAGGAUGGGGACUCCAACCCCAAUGGACACACCAUUCAACUGAGCACUACAGUGACGACCACAAGGGAGCUCAUAGGUCUUCAGAUCAAGAGAGGCUGAACCUAAGCAGUUGAACUUCAGUAACAACACCAACGAGAUUUGGAAAGAGAGUGAGUUGAGUGUAUUUUGCAUGCAAGAGGAUACUUUUUUUUUUCUAACCAAGCGGAAGCAUUUUAGAAAAAUAUCAAGUGGAGCUAAAACAUAAAAAGAAAAAGAAGAGGGUGAUGAGGAGAAAGAGAGGAUGGAAAAAGAAGGAAGAUGUGGCCGUCUCUGCAAGCUUUAUAAUAUCACAGAGGAACUCGAGAUAAAGCUCCAUGAAGACAAUGAGCAAACCAUACAUGAUCAACCCACAAUACAGACAUUCUAGAGACUCCAAUAAAUGGAUAACACAGCCUCUCUGUAAUUCUGAUUAUCUGGUUUCAAAGAGAACCUAAUCAACUUGUCAGCUGGUAGACUACAUUUUUUAAAUAACGGAUGAUUGAUAUUUUUAUCUAAUUCAGAAAACGUUUCGAAUACGUCAGCGAAAUUCUGUAAUACUUCAAACUUUCUCAAAGCCUACAUUUUAAAAAGUUGUCAAUAAUAGGUUUGAUGAUACACUUACUGCAUUCUGUUAACUAUGUGUUAAUUGUAUGAACUAAUAAAAAAAUUUCAUCUAUCUUAUUAGGAUAGGAAUUUCAAAUCAAACUGCAUAUUUUUAUUUGCUAAAUAU
Molecule: long non-coding RNA, 860 nt
Organism: Pan troglodytes (chimpanzee)
Lineage: Eukaryota; Metazoa; Chordata; Mammalia; Primates; Hominidae
Exons: 3
Source: RefSeq, a predicted model, not a curated record